GUGAGGAAUAUUGCGCAAUGGAGGCAACUCUGACGCAGCCAUGCCGCGUGCAGGAAGAAGGCGCUACGCGUUGUAAACUGCUUUUAACCGGGAAGAAACCCCAGGACGUGUCCUGGGUUGACGGUACCGGAGGAAUAAGCACCGGCUAACUUCGUGCCAGCAGCCGCGGUAAUACGAAGGGUGCAAGCGUUAUCCGGAUUCAUUGGGUUUAAAGGGUGCGUAGGCGGAGCGUUAAGUCAGUGGUGAAAUCCUGCAGCUUAACUGUAGGCUUGCCAUUGAUACUGGCGCUCUUGAGUGAGCUUGAAGUGGGCGGAAUGUGCCGUGUAGCGGUGAAAUGCUUAGAUAUGGCACAGAACACCAAUUGUGAAGGCAGCUCACUAAGGCGAUACUGACGCUGAGGCACGAAAGCGUGGGGAUCGAACAGGAUUAGAUACCCGUGUAGUCC
Molecule: ribosomal RNA, 445 nt
Filed under: uncultured bacterium
Lineage: Bacteria
Description: partial 16S ribosomal RNA
Rfam family: Bacterial small subunit ribosomal RNA
Source: RNAcentral